AGAGAAUACUGUAUCUCAGUGGUAGAGCAUGUGCCUUGCAUGUAGAAGGUCCCAGGUUUAAUCCCUGGCAUCUCUA
Podarcis lilfordi (Lilford's wall lizard) is the source of this 76-nucleotide non-coding RNA. NCBI's taxonomy places the organism in Eukaryota, Metazoa, Chordata, Lepidosauria, Squamata, Lacertidae. The record is from the annotation of a GenBank genome assembly.